ACCCCCAUAAGCUUUCAAGAUAUUUUUCUCUCUCCCUCUUUCUCUCUCUUUAUUUCUCCCUACUUCUCUUUCUAACGGGCUUUUCGUUCUUUGGUUACUACAAUCUUCUUUGACUCCUCCGAUAAAGCAAAUUUCGUACGAUUUUUUUUUUUCUUUCCUUUUUCCAGUUCCUCCAUGGGAUUUGAUUUAAGUUUUGGCCUAACAAGCUGCAAAAUUUCCUUCCGUCAAAUGCUUUUUAUUCGAGCCGGCAUUUGGCAGUGUUCCAUUUUCUGAAGAACUAAUAAUCUGUUUGGUUCGUGAGGGAAAAAAAAAAAAAAAUAUAAAUUGUAAAUAUCCGAAGCACGAGCCGGCUUUUGUUUUGAAGAUUUGCUUGUAGCUUUCAGGGAAAAAGAAACAAAAAGGAGACACAAUACGCAUCGUUCUUCUAAUUUUUUCAUAGGAUAAUUAUCAUUUUAUCGAAGUCAAAACGAUCUAUUCUUUAAACCAAAAGUGAAGAAGGACCUUUAUGGUGGCUAAAGCUUAAUGGAUAGCUUAUACUGCAAUGCAGUCUUUUCAUGAGGCUUAUAUAUGUAUCUGUCAAAUGUGUGGCUUUGGAGACAUGCGGUGGUAUGUAUAGCAAUGGCUGCUUGUGGCAUCAGUUUGAAUAGUAUCAUUUCUUGAACUUGUUGAUAUCAAGGGCGUUAGAUGUCUGAUGCGUUGGCUUCACUUGCAUAAUUGAGUCUGCAUUCAAGCAGCAUGAGCUUUUUGGGUGGCUUUAUGUACAUAAUUGGGUCUACAUUCAAGCAGCUUACAGUCUAUGGUAACUUAACAUUGUAUACAGUUUUGGCUGACUGUUUCUUGUUGAAUUCAAGUCUGUGAUCUUUUUGACCUUGUUUUUAUUGCUUUUCAUGUGUUCAGUUUAUUCACUACCUAGUAAAUAAGAUGAAUUCCUAAUGUUUGAAUAGCUUUCUUCGGUCACAAUUUUUUUGCAUUUCCCUAUGUGCUUUUUGAUACAUCUAGUGUUUAGGAUAACAAUUUAGUUAAGUGCACACUUCACUAAAGGAGGGUGUAGUUUGUAAUCGGGAGAAUGUAAGCAUAAAUUACCUAAGCAAACAUACGAGCAUCCUAAACUGGGUAAAAGCUUCAUUGAGUUAGUCUACUAAUCUUUUGUUAUCAUGUUUAUGAAGUGUCUGGACAUGUUAUUUCUGGCUGCCAAUAACUUUAGUGUUGUGACACGAUCUGGAUACAAAUUGUCUUGCUAGAAAAUGGAUGGCCCAACCUUAAUUUACUGCUUCAGUUCGAAUUAUGAUCAGUCAUUGCUUCCUGUGCCGUUGUUGCUGAUCAUGUCAUGAGUCACACUAUGGUUGUUCUGUUAUUCUUAGGUCUGGCCAUCUUUCCCAUAUUAAGAAAGAGUUCUGAAGGGGGUCUUGUCUUAUAUCUGCACAUUUUCUAUUUUUAUGACCUGCAAAAUGGAGCUGUGACUAACAAUUCCUAGACUUGGAUUUGUUUGGCUAAUCAAAUCCGGAUUGGUUAUAAGUAGCAAGAAUUACAGAGGGGUUUGCUAAUACUAGGAAUGAUGUUUUCUACUACUCCUUUGCUGCCUGAACGUGUUUCAAGUUUUGAUUGUUGUGGAGAUAUGUUAAAUCCUUAAUGGUUAGAUUAUUAUUAUUAUUAUGUUGCUGCUGUUUCUUGCCCAAAAGUUUCACAGGAUUGCUAAGUGGAACAUACUUAAGUCAAACCACUACAACGUGGAAAAGAUAUUAAUCUUUGUUUUUACUUUAUUGAAGCGGAGGAACAAUAACUUCUCCUUGAAUAAAGGUUGCAGACAAAGAAAACAGUUAACGCUUAUCCUCUAAAGAACAAUGAUGUUGUUCUGCAUGUGCAACUUUAAUUUAGAUGCCCUGAUUUUUAGUUAAGACCUGCAUUUUUUAGGAAGAAAAGAUAAAACGGAGGAUUGGUUGGAUAAGAGGGAUGGAAAGUAAGAUGGAAGGAAAAGAAAAUUAUAGUACGAAGUGGAAAGUUUAGUUAUUCUCUUCUUUUUUUGGCAAUGGAGGUAUAGCUUUUAGUUAGUGCAUGGAUUUAGAAAAGUCCCCUUCAGGUGUGGACAAUAACUUGCGGAUUCACACCCCAUCACCUGUGGUGAGGUAUAUAUACCAAAAUAUUAGCCCCACUGUAUGUGGAUGUCCAAACCUAAUGAUUGUUCUAGAUUUAUAUCCAUUAAAUUUUAGUUUAAACCUAUGUUUUGUAGGAAGGAAAUAAAUAAAUAAAUAAAUAACACGUAGAAGGAUUGAUAGGAUAAGAGGGAUGCAAAGUUAAAAAUUAGAAGAAGAAAAUUAUGGUCUAACACGUUUGGUAUAAUAAGAGGAAAAUGUAAUUAUUCUGUCCCUUGUUUGGUAUUGGAGGUAAAAGUAGAAGAAAAUAAAGUUUUUUGUUAGGGUAAUUACAUUUUGCCGUCUGAACUAGGGCAUACAUUAUGCCUCAGACUACAACCACCAUCGCAUUGCUCCCAAACUAUUAUUUUAUUGUUAAUUAAGUCUAGUCAUGCAUUUCGAGAGAUGGAUUUGGUAAACCGAUCAUAUUCAACUCAAUUAACUUUGAAACUGUUUUCCUCUAUUUCAUGUAUUUUUGGACAGUGUUUAUGACUAAUUUUGCUUAAUUUAUUGGCUAAAAUUGUAGAAUUAGACCAAAUUGACAGAAAAGUAUUAGUAUGGUGGGAAUACCAAAGGUUUUGUAGUUUGGGGAUAAAAGUGCAAAAUACAGUGCAAAAUGUAAUAUAGUUCAUGGGUAAAGUGCAAUUACCCUAUGACUAUUUUGCUAUUAAGCUAUGGUUUAGGUUAGUUACACUUUAAUACCCUAUAAAUAUUUUUGUUAUUAAGUUAUAUUUGCAUUUUAGUAUUUUAUAGUCUUAGAAAAAUGCGUUUUAGGCCUUUGGUCUUAAACCAUUACAAUUUUAGGCUUAAAUUUAGGAUUUGUUGUAGAUUGGUCUAAUUGAAUUCUUGGCUAUGGGGCCUAACCACCAAUCAAUAUGACUUAUAUGUGACUGAUUUGGUAUAUAAAAUAAUUAUUUCUUAUAAAAUAGAAAAAUUUAUUCAUAAAAAUUAAAAAGAGAAAUGUGAAUGGUGAAUCUUAUCAAUUUGUUUGGUUAUUACGUUGAAUU
This is a long non-coding RNA of Ziziphus jujuba (common jujube), 3136 nucleotides long. RefSeq lists it as uncharacterized. NCBI's taxonomy places the organism in Eukaryota, Viridiplantae, Streptophyta, Magnoliopsida, Rosales, Rhamnaceae. The record is from RefSeq and is a predicted model, not a curated record. The transcript is spliced from 9 exons.